This 97-nucleotide transfer RNA is filed under the name Blumeria hordei DH14. RNAcentral's name for it is "tRNA-Leu for anticodon AAG". It matches the Rfam family "tRNA". Rfam says of the family: Transfer RNA (tRNA) molecules are approximately 80 nucleotides in length. Their secondary structure includes four short double-helical elements and three loops (D, anti-codon, and T loops). The record is from Rfam by way of RNAcentral. Lineage: Eukaryota; Fungi; Ascomycota; Leotiomycetes; Helotiales; Erysiphaceae.
GGACAGAUGGCCGAGCUGGUUAUGGCGCCAGGUUAAGGUUCUUAACGUAAAUUUCCUGGUCACGAAAGUGGCGUGGGUUCGAGUCCCACUCUGUUCA